This 278-nucleotide ribosomal RNA is filed under the name uncultured prokaryote. Its description in RNAcentral is "partial 16S ribosomal RNA". It matches the Rfam family "Bacterial small subunit ribosomal RNA", at positions 524 to 801 of the family's 1533-position model. The record is from RNAcentral.
UACGUAGGUGGCGAGCGUUGUCCGGAUUUACUGGGCGUAAAGGAUGCGUAGGUGGAAAUUUAAGUGGGAUGUGAAAUCCCCGGGCUCAACCCGGGAACUGCAUUCCAAACUGGGUUUCUUGAGUGCAGGAGAGGAAAGCGGAAUUCCUAGUGUAGCGGUGAAAUGCGUAGAUAUUAGGAAGAACACCAGUGGCGAAGGCGGCUUUCUGGACUGUAACUGACACUGAGGCAUGAAAGCGUGGGGAGCAAACAGGAUUAGAUACCCCCGUAGUCCCUGAG